GUGGCAGUCGCGCAACGGCAGCGCAUUGGCCUUCCAAGCCAACGGUUGCGGGUUCGAAUCCCGUCUGCCACUCCA
RNAcentral lists this transfer RNA (75 nucleotides) under Caudoviricetes sp. RNAcentral describes it as "tRNA-Gly". It matches the Rfam family "tRNA". Rfam says of the family: Transfer RNA (tRNA) molecules are approximately 80 nucleotides in length. The record is from RNAcentral. Lineage: Duplodnaviria; Heunggongvirae; Uroviricota; Caudoviricetes.